AAGCAUUCUUUAGAACUCUUCCAUACAAAGCUUUAUAUGGUUAGUUCACUAAGCAAAGACGUUGUGAGAAAUAUAUAAGAAAGCUUAGAAAAUAAUACUCCCUCACGGGUUUCACUCUUGUGCUUCACUCACUCUCUCAAUUUUCUCUGCUCAUGUUGAAUACCAAAAUUGAAUUCUAUUAAAUCAUGGUAAUCAAGAUUGUUUUAGAACACUUCAGGGAAUCCUAGGGAAAGAAAAGUGU
This 241-nucleotide long non-coding RNA is filed under the name Carica papaya (papaya). Its description in RNAcentral is "long non-coding RNA (CPAP_LNC007875)". Lineage: Eukaryota; Viridiplantae; Streptophyta; Magnoliopsida; Brassicales; Caricaceae. The record is from RNAcentral.